Molecule: long non-coding RNA, 405 nt
Filed under: Ananas comosus (pineapple)
Lineage: Eukaryota; Viridiplantae; Streptophyta; Magnoliopsida; Poales; Bromeliaceae
Description: long non-coding RNA (ACOM_LNC022713)
Source: RNAcentral
UCCCCAAAAAUUUCUUUCAAACUCAAGUGAUUAGUUUCCUUCUAAUUUUACCGUAAACUUUCGCAUUUUUUCACUUUAGUAUUUUAUGAUUAAAAAUGUAUCGAAUUAGUACCAUGUGGUUUUAUUUUUCUCUUUUCGUUAGCUUAUCUGUUAAUAUUUUGUUAAAGUAUAUACAAAAAACUUCAGAUAUCCCACCUAAGUUUAUCGAAUAUUUACUUUAGUACUCUUUAGUUGUAACUUUGUCACUGAUUUAACAAAAAAAACUAGUGAAAUGAAUAAUAAAAAGAGAAAAAUAAAACCACGAGUUAUUAAUAUUGAUACGCUUUAAAUCACAUGGCACUAAAGUGAGAAAGUGCAAAAUCGUAGCGGUGGUAUUUGAAGUUUUUCUUUAAUUUUAUUCUCCAU